GAGGGGCCCCCCCAGGUGGGGCCUGCGCGUUAAUUUGUCUCAACACGCAGAAUAUCACCACCCCCCCACACCGAAGGGAGUGGCAAAGUUAGAGCGCUUUCUUGAUUCUGUGGGGGGGGGUGCGUGGCGCUCUUAGUUGGGGGGGCGAUUUGUCUGGUUAAUUCCGAUAACAAACAAAACUCUGCCCUAGUCUACAAACUUGGGGUCUUUUAUUUUCCUUCUCUGCUUCUCUUGGGACGGGCGGGGUUCAGCCGCACGAGAAUGAGAAAUAACAAGUCUGUGUUUGCCUUGCAUGUUCUUGGCUGGGGCGCGCGCUCUGAGAAAUCAAAGAGUGUACCGUGUCCUAAAGGACUGAGAACCCAAGAACCUCCUACGUCGCGAGGAGGGGGGAUUAGGGAUAUUAACCAUGAACAACGAAGUCCCAGUAGACGGUGCGCGCAAGAUUCCGGCGAUUAUUCCCUGCUGCUUGGACACACGACCCGCCGCUACUACCUAUCGAGCGAAUGAGUGAUUGCGUUC
Molecule: ribosomal RNA, 519 nt
Filed under: uncultured eukaryote
Lineage: Eukaryota
Description: partial 18S ribosomal RNA
Rfam family: Eukaryotic small subunit ribosomal RNA
Source: RNAcentral